RNAcentral lists this ribosomal RNA (460 nucleotides) under uncultured bacterium. RNAcentral describes it as "partial 16S ribosomal RNA". It matches the Rfam family "Bacterial small subunit ribosomal RNA", at positions 338 to 795 of the family's 1533-position model. The record is from RNAcentral.
CCUACGGGAGGCAGCAGUGAGGAAUAUUGGUCAAUGGACGAGAGUCUGAACCAGCCAAGUAGCGUGAAGGAUGACUGCCCUAUGGGUUGUCAACUUCUUUUAUAUGGGAAUAAAAUGUUCCACGUGUGGGUUUUUGUAUGUACUUUAUGAAUAAGGAUCGGCUAACUCCGUGCCAGCAGCCGCGGUAAUACGGAGGAUCCGAGCGUUAUCCGGAUUUAUUGGGUUUAAAGGGAGCGUAGAUGGUUUGUUAAGUCAGUUGUGAAAGUUUGCGGCUCAACCGUAAAAUUGCAAUUGAGACUGGCAGUCUUGAGUACAGUAGAGGUAGGCGGAAUUCGUGGUGUAGCGGUGAAAUGCUUAGAUAUCACGAAGAACUCCGAUUGCGAAGGCAGUUCACUAGACUGAAACUGACACUGAGGCUCGAAAGUGUGGGUAUCAAACAGGAUUAGAUACCCCAGUAGUC